RNAcentral lists this ribosomal RNA (371 nucleotides) under uncultured organism. Its description in RNAcentral is "bacterial SSU rRNA". It matches the Rfam family "Bacterial small subunit ribosomal RNA", at positions 526 to 896 of the family's 1533-position model. The record is from RNAcentral.
CGUAGGGGCCUAGCGUUGUUCGGAUUUACUGGGCGUAAAGGGCGCGUAGGCGGCGAAUCAAGUCAGCUGUGAAAUCUCCGAGCUUAACUCGGAACGGUCAGCUGAUACUGUUUUGCUAGAGUGCAGAAAGGGCAACCGGAAUUCUUGGUGUAGCGGUGAAAUGCGUAGAUAUCAGGAGGAACACCUGAGGCGAAGGCGGGUCGCUAGGCUGACACUGACGCUGAAGCGCGAAAGCUAGGGUAGCAAACGGGAUUAGAUACCCCGGUAGUCCUAGCCCUAAACGAUGUAUGCUUGGUGUCUGGAGUUUUUAUCUCUGGGUGCCGUCGCUAACGCUUUUAGCAUACCGCCUGGGGAGUACGCACGCAAGUGUG